AUUGAACGCUGGCGGCAGGCCUAACACAUGCAAGUCGAGCGGAUGAAGGGAGCUUGCUCCUGGAUUCAGCGGCGGACGGGUGAGUAAUGCCUAGGAAUCUGCCUGGUAGUGGGGGAUAACGUCCGGAAACGGGCGCUAAUACCGCAUACGUCCUGCGGGAGAAAGUGGGGGAUCUUCGGACCUCACGCUAUCAGAUGAGCCUAGGUCGGAUUAGCUAGUUGGUGGGGUAAAGGCCUACCAAGGCGACGAUCCGUAACUGGUCUGAGAGGAUGAUCAGUCACACUGGAACUGAGACACGGGCCAGGCUCCUACGGGAGGCAGCAGUGGGGAAUAUUGGACAAUGGGCGAAAGCCUGAUCCGGCCAUGCCGCGUGUGUGAAGAAGGUCUUCGGAUUGUAAAGCACUUUAAGUUGGGAGGAAGGGCAGUAAGUUAAUACCUUGCUGUUUUGACGUUACCAACAGAAUAAGCACCGGCUAACUUCGUG
RNAcentral lists this ribosomal RNA (484 nucleotides) under uncultured bacterium. Its description in RNAcentral is "partial 16S ribosomal RNA". It matches the Rfam family "Bacterial small subunit ribosomal RNA", at positions 30 to 507 of the family's 1533-position model. The record is from RNAcentral.